Molecule: long non-coding RNA, 225 nt
Filed under: Elaeis guineensis (African oil palm)
Lineage: Eukaryota; Viridiplantae; Streptophyta; Magnoliopsida; Arecales; Arecaceae
Description: long non-coding RNA (EGUI_LNC019320)
Source: RNAcentral
UCAUAUAAGGACGAGCAGUGCCAUUUGGCUAGUAUCAUUAGGCCUCCACUCAACUCGUAUGAGGACAAGAACUACCAGUUGACCAUUGUAGCUGGGGCCUCUACUCAACUCAUAUGAGGAUGAAGAGCGCCAUUUGGCCUACGUUAUUGGGCUUUCGCUCAACUCAUACAAGGAUGAGGAGUGCCAAUUCACCAUUGUAGCUAGGAUCUCCACUCAACUCGCACG